Molecule: ribosomal RNA, 468 nt
Filed under: Bacillus sp. MAL3
Lineage: Bacteria; Bacillati; Bacillota; Bacilli; Caryophanales; Bacillaceae
Description: bacterial SSU rRNA
Rfam family: Bacterial small subunit ribosomal RNA
Source: RNAcentral
GACAACCCUAGAGAUAGGGCUUCCCCUUCGGGGGCAGAGUGACAGGUGGUGCAUGGUUGUCGUCAGCUCGUGUCGUGAGAUGUUGGGUUAAGUCCCGCAACGAGCGCAACCCUUGAUCUUAGUUGCCAGCAUUCAGUUGGGCACUCUAAGGUGACUGCCGGUGACAAACCGGAGGAAGGUGGGGAUGACGUCAAAUCAUCAUGCCCCUUAUGACCUGGGCUACACACGUGCUACAAUGGGCAGAACAAAGGGCAGCGAAGCCGCGAGGCUAAGCCAAUCCCACAAAUCUGUUCUCAGUUCGGAUCGCUGUCUGCAACUCGACUGCGUGAAGCUGGAAUCGCUAGUAAUCGCGGAUCAGCAUGCCGCGGUGAAUACGUUCCCGGGCCUUGUACACACCGCCCGUCACACCACGAGAGUUUGUAACACCCGAAGUCGGUGAGGUAACCUUUUGGAGCCAGCCGCCGAAGG